UGGGGAAUUUUGGACAAUGGGGGAAACCCGUGAUCCAGCCAUCCCGCGUGUGCGAUGAAGGCCUUCGGGUUGUAAAGCACUUUUGGCAGGAAAGAAACGUCGCGGGUUAAUACCCCGCGAAACUGACGGUACCUGCAGAAUAAGCACCGGCUAACUACGUGCCAGCAGCCGCGGUAAUACGUAGGGUGCAAGCGUUAAUCGGAAUUACUGGGCGUAAAGCGUGCGCAGGCGGUUCGGAAAGAAAGAUGUGAAAUCCCAGAGCUUAACUUUGGAACUGCAUUUUUAACUACCGGGCUAGAGUGUGUCAGAGGGAGGUGGAAUUCCGCGUGUAGCAGUGAAAUGCGUAGAUAUGCGGAGGAACACCGAUGGCGAAGGCAGCCUCCUGGGAUAACACUGACGCUCAUGCACGAAAGCGUGGGGAGCAAACAGGAUUAGAUACCCUGGUAGUCCACGCCCCUAAACGAUGUCAACUAGCUGUUGGGGGCC
RNAcentral lists this ribosomal RNA (486 nucleotides) under uncultured bacterium. RNAcentral describes it as "partial 16S ribosomal RNA". It matches the Rfam family "Bacterial small subunit ribosomal RNA", at positions 355 to 831 of the family's 1533-position model. The record is from RNAcentral.